Molecule: microRNA precursor, 90 nt
Filed under: Canis lupus familiaris (dog)
Lineage: Eukaryota; Metazoa; Chordata; Mammalia; Carnivora; Canidae
Description: mir-8799 microRNA precursor family
Rfam family: mir-8799 microRNA precursor family
Source: Rfam by way of RNAcentral
UGGGGGAGGCGGGAUCCUGGGCUGUGUCCCGGCGCCCUAUGCUCCGGGGCCUGCGCUGGUGGAUUUGAGCUCCCGGCCCCGCAGCCCCCU